This 107-nucleotide transfer RNA is filed under the name Paracoccidioides brasiliensis. Its description in RNAcentral is "tRNA-Ser". It matches the Rfam family "tRNA". Rfam says of the family: Transfer RNA (tRNA) molecules are approximately 80 nucleotides in length. The record is from RNAcentral. Lineage: Eukaryota; Fungi; Ascomycota; Eurotiomycetes; Onygenales; Ajellomycetaceae.
GGCGCGAUGGCGGAGUGGUUAACGCGAGAGACUAGAAUGUGACGUAUUGCUGCGUCAAAGCUAAUCUCUUCUCUUCGGAGGCGUAGGUUCGAAUCCUGCUCGCGUCG